Long non-coding RNA from Solanum lycopersicum (tomato), 357 nucleotides. RefSeq lists it as uncharacterized. The record is from RefSeq and is a predicted model, not a curated record. Lineage: Eukaryota; Viridiplantae; Streptophyta; Magnoliopsida; Solanales; Solanaceae.
CUUAAAUCAUUUUUUGUGCUUAUUUAGAGAUAAAGUUCUAUUAGUGAACUGAUUCAAAAUCAUGAAGAACUUUUCUACUCUUGCUGUCUUUGUAUUUUCCCUCUUCAUUAUUCUUGUUACUACAACAAAAGGGGCAAAAGUGUGUCUAUUUUCCUUUGAAGUCCCCCAACCUUGUGAUUCAAAUAAUUGCAAUAUCCAAUGCAAGCAACAGUUUGGAGCAAAGCCACCAGGUGCUGUUAAAGGGCCACUUCUUGGAGGAAAUUGCAUUGGUGAAAAUUGUUUUUGUUCUUUUUGUUGCAAAGAGAAAUGUGCUGAUCUUCAUUCUUAAUGGAAUAUAUGAGUACUUUUUUUUUUUAA